This 460-nucleotide ribosomal RNA is filed under the name uncultured bacterium. RNAcentral describes it as "partial 16S ribosomal RNA". It matches the Rfam family "Bacterial small subunit ribosomal RNA", at positions 338 to 795 of the family's 1533-position model. The record is from RNAcentral.
CCUACGGGAGGCAGCAGUGAGGAAUAUUGGUCAAUGGACGCGAGUCUGAACCAGCCAAGUAGCGUGCAGGAUGACUGCCCUACGGGUUGUAAACUUCUUUUAUACAGGAGUAAAGUGAGGCACGUGUGCCUGUUUGUAAGUACCUUAUGAAUAAGGAUCGGCUAACUCCGUGCCAGCAGCCGCGGUAAUACGGAGGAUCCGAGCGUUAUCCGGAUUUAUUGGGUUUAAAGGGUGCGUAGAUGGGUUGUUAAGUCAGUGGUGAAAGUUUGGGGCUCAACCGUGAAAUUGCAAUUGAUACUGGCAGUCUAGAGUACAGUUGAGGUAGGCGGAAUGCGUGGUGUAGCGGUGAAAUGCUUAGAGAUCACACAGAACUCCGAUUGCGAAGGCAGCUUACUAAACUACAACUGACGUUGAUGCACGAAAGUGUGGGUAGCAAACAGGAUUAGAUACCCGAGUAGUC